RNAcentral lists this transfer RNA (72 nucleotides) under Chaunax abei. RNAcentral describes it as "tRNA-Val". It matches the Rfam family "tRNA". From Rfam's summary of the family: Transfer RNA (tRNA) molecules are approximately 80 nucleotides in length. RNAcentral also lists the same sequence under 3 other names. Lineage: Eukaryota; Metazoa; Chordata; Actinopteri; Lophiiformes; Chaunacidae. The record is from RNAcentral.
CAGAGCAAAGCUAAUACAGAAUAGCAUCUCCCUUACACUGAGAAGUUAUCCGUGCAAAUCGGAUUGCACUGA